This 504-nucleotide ribosomal RNA is filed under the name uncultured bacterium. RNAcentral's name for it is "partial 16S ribosomal RNA". It matches the Rfam family "Bacterial small subunit ribosomal RNA", at positions 28 to 507 of the family's 1533-position model. The record is from RNAcentral.
GACGAACGCUGGCGGCGUGCUUAACACAUGCAAGUCGAACGGUGAAGCGCUUGCCUUUUUGGUGGGUGUGGAUGAGUGGCGUACGGGUGAGUAACACGUGAGUAACCUGCCCUCUUCUUCUGGAUAACCUCAUGAAAGUGGGGCUAAUACGGGGUAUUCCGGGUCUGUCGCAUGGCGGGUUUGGGAAAGAUUGCGCCUUUGGGUGUUUUCGGUGGGGGAUGGGCUCGCGGCCUAUCAGCUUGUUGGUGGGGUGAUGGCCUACCAAGGCGGUGACGGGUAGCCGGCCUGAGAGGGUGGACGGCCACACUGGGACUGAGACACGGCCCAGACUCCUGCGGGAGGCAGCAGUGGGGAAUAUUGCACAAUGGGCGCAAGCCUGAUGCAGCGACGCCGCGUGAGGGAUGGAGGCCUUCGGGUUGUGAACCUCUUUCGCCAGUGAAGCAGGCCUGCUCCUGUGUGGGUGGGUUGACGGUAGCUGGAUAAGAAGCGCCGGCUAACUACGUG